GACGAACGCUGGCGGCGUGCUUAACACAUGCAAGUCGAACGGAAAGGCCCUGCUUUUGUGGGGUGCUCGAGUGGCGAACGGGUGAGUAACACGUGAGUAACCUGCCCUUGACUUUGGGAUAACUUCAGGAAACUGGGGCUAAUACCGGAUAGGAGCUCCUGCUGCAUGGUGGGGGUUGGAAAGUUUCGGCGGUUGGGGAUGGACUCGCGGCUUAUCAGCUUGUUGGGGGGGUAGUGGCUUACCAAGGCUUUGACGGGUAGCCGGCCUGAGAGGGUGACCGGCCACAUUGGGACUGAGAUACGGCCCAGACUCCUACGGGAGGCAGCAGGGGGGAAUAUUGCACAAUGGGCGGAAGCCUGAUGCAGCAACGCCGCGUGCGGGAUGACGGCCUUCGGGUUGUAAACCGCUUUCGCCUGUGACGAAGCGUGAGUGACGGUAAUGGGUAAAGAAGCACCGGCUAACUACGUG
This 468-nucleotide ribosomal RNA is filed under the name uncultured bacterium. Its description in RNAcentral is "partial 16S ribosomal RNA". It matches the Rfam family "Bacterial small subunit ribosomal RNA", at positions 28 to 507 of the family's 1533-position model. The record is from RNAcentral.